CAGCUUUACUUACCUUAGUGGGGUCUAUAUAUGUGGAAACAUCUUACAUGUCAGACACUGGAUUUUCAGCCAUGUUAUGUACUACAGCUGGAUCUCUUAUGUUAAUAGUUUACACUGGUUUUAUUUUGUAUGACCAGAAAUACAUUAAACAUGACAGGUUAUCAAACGUGAAGGUGCAGAAGUGUAAACAUAUAUCGUCAAACGCAAACAGAAGAAGUCAGACGACGACAUCCGCUUUCGUUCGAAAAUAAAUUUCAAAGUGAUGUUAAAUUACUUUAAAAAAUGUAAUCAAUGUUCAUUGAAUCACUACACAUGAUGUUCGGUGUGUUUUCACGGUUACCUAAGUUGAAAUCAGCGAUAUAUAUUUCUAGGAUGUGGCCAGUUUUCGUGUGUUUUUUAAGUUGACCAUCCAGCCCUAAAGCUGAGUUAUCUGCAUCAAAAAACAGGUGGUUGAUAGUAUCUGCUGAUCUCUUGUAAAGUAAUUUAAAUUUCCAAAAUAUUCUAAGUAUUUUCUUUCGUAAAACGGUAUUAUCAGUGUUGUUCAACGAGUGUGUGUCCACGACAGUACAUAAACAGACUCAAUCAAACUGCGCUUGCAAUAGUGAUGGACAAAUCGGUUAUAUUUGCCAACCGAUUAAUCGGAACAAUCGGAUAAGCCAACCGAUUCAAUAAAUUGGACAUAAUCGGAUAAUCGGUUAUUCAUAACUUAUUUUAGUUGCGUAUCUGUAAGUUAACCUUUAACUUUGUUUUACACAUACACAAUGUCAUUUGAAGUACUUAAGAAAUAAUUAAAAGGAAUAAAACACUUAAAAACUGUA
This is a long non-coding RNA of Mercenaria mercenaria, 818 nucleotides long. RefSeq lists it as uncharacterized. Lineage: Eukaryota; Metazoa; Mollusca; Bivalvia; Venerida; Veneridae. The record is from RefSeq and is a predicted model, not a curated record. The transcript is spliced from 2 exons.